UGUUUGGAUGUACGAUGACAGCAGCGACAGCUGGAAUGUUUUUGUCCAACAGAUGGAGUCCGUGAUUUAAACUGCUUUGGUAAACAUGAUUUAAAAGGAUAUAAAACCUGUACAUGGAAACCUGGGAAGGCCAAAGCACAAACAGUGUACACAGUUAUUGUACUCCAGAAUAAAACGUAAGUGUCACUUUCCUCUGUGAGAAGCACAAUCAUAACUAUUGCAACGUUAUUAGUUUGGAUCUUUACAUUUUCUAGAAAAGGAGAUCAUUGCAAAGUUUACAGUGAUAUCCGUGAGUUCUCCAGUGGAAUCGAGCUUUAUGAAAACUACAACGUGACGGUCGUGGCUUUGGAAAACAUGAAGUCCACAAACUGUACACUGGCGGUUUUUAAAGGAUCACCAAAGAGCCUGUUUCGAUGCGGUCCGCCAAAAGAUGUCUCAUUUACUCGCCUCUCUGGAAAACUCCAUGUGAAUGUGGAAUGGCACCAGGAGGACAUGACAGCCAUCGGAGAAUACUCUGUGAGAUACAGAGCAAAGGGCGCCCGCCUAUGGUCGAAGUCGACUGUUAGAUCCGACAACAGCAGCAGCUGCAUGGUGGAGAACCUGAACACCUCGCAGGUCUACGAGGUGCAGAUAGAGUGCCUUACAAACCUACAAUGCUCCCAGUGUCCCUGGAGUGAAGCCUACAUGGUCCCACAUGAACUGACAGAGCAGCCUGUUAUUGUCAACCUUUGGUUUAUCGACAUUGACGAGAAAAAAGGAAAGCGGUGGACAUUUGUGUCCUGGAAGCUCCCUGACACAGAGACGCAUCACAGCUACUGUGUGAGCAUCUGGAAAACAUCUGGGGAGACCCCAAGUGAGCUGAGGAUAAACACUUCUCGUUCUGAGAUCAGCCUCAUUCUCUCCUUUUCAUCGUAUCGCAUCAACAUCAGCGCCUUCAACGAUGUGAGCACAUCCCCCGCCGUGAGCCGGACCAUUCCUCAGCGUGACGGUACAGAAGGUGGUUUGCUGAACGUGACCGUCCAUCAUAAUAAUUCAUUUACCAUCCACUGGAGGGACGAUCUUAUCAAAAGCUACGUCUGCUUUUCUGCUGAGUGGAGGACGAAGACACACAAAGGGUUCCACGAGUCGUUUCAUGAGCAAGAUAAAAACUACAAGACCAUAUCUC
Molecule: long non-coding RNA, 1165 nt
Filed under: Gouania willdenowi (blunt-snouted clingfish)
Lineage: Eukaryota; Metazoa; Chordata; Actinopteri; Blenniiformes; Gobiesocidae
Description: lncRNA (ENSGWIG00000019519.1)
Source: RNAcentral